Molecule: ribosomal RNA, 407 nt
Filed under: uncultured bacterium
Lineage: Bacteria
Description: partial 16S ribosomal RNA
Rfam family: Bacterial small subunit ribosomal RNA
Source: RNAcentral
GACGAACGCUGGCGGCGUGCCUAAUACAUGCAAGUCGAACGCAGUGGCGAACGCGUGAGUAACGCGUAGGUAACUGCCUCAUAGCGGGGGAUAACUCUUGGAAAAGAUAGCUAAUACCGCAAACUGUGAGAUGGAUCUGCGUUGGAUUAGCGAGUUGGUGAGGGACAGGCUCACCAAGGCGACGAGACAUAGCCUACCGGGGAGGGAGAUCGGCAAAACUUGGACUUGGAAACGGCCCAAACUCCUACGGGGGGCAGCAGGAGGGAAUCUUCGGCCAUGGACGGAAGUCUGACCGAACAACGCCGCGUGAGUGAAGAAAGUUUUCGGAUCGGAAAGCUCUGUUGUUAGGGAAGCGGUAACUAACCAGAAAGGGACGGCUAACUACGUGCCAGCAGCCGCGGUAAUAC